Molecule: small nuclear RNA, 102 nt
Filed under: Propithecus coquereli (Coquerel's sifaka)
Lineage: Eukaryota; Metazoa; Chordata; Mammalia; Primates; Indriidae
Source: RNAcentral
AUGCUCACUUUGGCAGCACAUACACUGAAACUGGAAUGAUAAAGAUCAGCAUGGCCCCUGCACAAGGAUGACACGCAAAUUUGUGAAGCGUUCCAUAUUCUU